GAAAUGGGGUGGGGCCCCUGGUAAAGUCCUCAUGGGUAUCGAGUUUGACGGGUUUUUUGCCAUCCCUAUGUCUAGGAUAGCUUAUCAUGAAAUGGUUUGAAUACAAUUGUGUUCCCAAACUUAUCCACCAUUCUAGCCAAGUGAGAUCAAGUCCUUGUUUGAUGGCCAUUAUAAAGAAAAUUUGAGGGAAAAUGAUGUUGAGUAGUGAUUUUUUUGGAGAAUAUGUGGUUAAAAAUUAGAGAAAAGUUUUGGAUUUACAUGAAAAAUAUUUUAUUGUAUGAAUGUAUAGUUGAUAAUGAGUAUAAGAAAUAAAAAGUUUUGAUAUAAAGAGAGUCAAACAGGGGCUAAAUAAAAAAUACAUUGUUUAGCUUUUCUGCUUGCUAAGAUUGUUCCAUUUUUAUGUGCACUGUGUUCAUUUACAUCUCAUGCUAACAUUCACCGUUAAUCUGGCAAACCUGAGAAAUUGUUCUCUACAGGUAGCUUGUUGCAGCAUCGGAAGAAGCAGUUUCUCAAGUACAGUUUUGUGUACCAUAUGAAGCUUUAGUUAUAAUUUGUAAUUGAUUCUUAGCUAGGAAUUCAGAUUGAACUGCUUUAACGCCAUUUUUUUGGGUGAUAAGGAUCUAGAUCACAAGAUUAAUUGAUGGGAAUGUGACAGGCAGGUUUUUUCCUUUUAUCCAUGAUGAUUUUAGAUUGUUAAAUGUUGAUAGGAGGUUUACUUGAUUUUACUUUUGCUUGUGACAGAAAAUAAUCCGCUUUAGUGUCGUAUUGGAUAUAUUAAAAUAAGUUAAAAUCUUAUCAUUGUACCAUUCAGUCUUGUAUGUGAUAAUUUUUACCUGGACAUGAAACAUCGGAGCCAUCAUUGUUUAUGGAGCAAUGAGGUUAUUGUUGAGAUGCCGAGGACUUGAGGUUAUGUUCGACAAUGGGACCGACCAUAAUUAAGAAAAAAAAUACGUAAAAAUUAUAUAUAUAUUAUCGGUCUAAUGUACCUAAUUGCUUUAUAUUAAGUAAAAAUGUUCAAGCAAUGGUUUUUUAAGAUAAUUUUUUCAUGAAACUUUCUAAAAGAUGUAGAAAUCUUGUCAAUCGAGC
RNAcentral lists this long non-coding RNA (1086 nucleotides) under Olea europaea (common olive). RNAcentral describes it as "long non-coding RNA (OEUR_LNC012211)". The record is from RNAcentral. Lineage: Eukaryota; Viridiplantae; Streptophyta; Magnoliopsida; Lamiales; Oleaceae.